GCUAUUCAUUUGUAACAGCCUCCCUAGCCGGCUUUCUCUGGCCCGUGAGCCCGCCUUAGAGGGACCCCUGGGAAGGAGGGGGAAGGGCAGCCAGGGAUUUCUUUCACACCUGCCGGGGAUAUUUCCCGCAGCCGGGGGCGAGGAGGCGGGAACUUGCGUUCUGCCUCCCCAUUGGCUCGACUGUAGCCGCGGAGGCGCGCUGCACGCCGGGAUAUGUAGUUCUGGGCUCACGGCGCGGCGCGGGCUCGGGGCGCGUGGAGCGGUGGUUGCGCAUGCGCAGAGAGGAUGGCGGGCGUGAGCGGGGGGCGUUCUCCCGAGCAGAACUCUUCUCACAGAGCCAGAGACAGCACUGAAAGGGAUCCUGUCUUUGUCAGCAGUGACAAUAGCUGACUGCACAGAAGUAGCACCUGCUGUAACUGCAACUUCGCUAUCUCAUUUUAAGUGGUCUACUGUGUGCAGGAAACAACGCCUCUGGUUCAGGAAGUCUGCAUGAAUCUGCACUGCCACUUAAAGAUCUGCUGCCAUGCUCAGAUAAAUGCUACUGCUCAGCUGGUCUUGCAAAACAGUUUGCAAAAAUGGAGAGGACGUGAAGGCAAAGACCUGCAGGCAUCAAGAGACGUAUUAGGCUAUCUUGAGAGACUGGAUCAAAGACACCAGAAGAUCUAACUUCUCUGCAGACUUUACCACCUACAAGGACCAGGCCACCAGGGUAUGAAUUACUUUUUUUCAGAUAAGAAAGGUAAUAAAACAUUUGAUAUAAAAAUGAAAAAGAUCAUUUAAGUUACAAGUUUCUGUUUCUAUGAUACUAUAACAGCAAUAGCUAGAAUGAAAAAAAAGAAAAUUGCAAGAACUCAUACUGUUUGUGUCUUGUACCUACGAAGGGAAAACCUCUGAUGAGUGUUUUUCUGGACUGUUCUUAAAAACCUGAAUGAUGGAGAUUAUAUUGCAUCUUUAGGUGAUCUAUUUCUGUCUUUAGCUAUCCUUAGAGUUAAAAGUUUUCCCUAUGUUACCCUAAUUCUUUCCUGCUGCAAUUUAAGCCAAUUAGUUUUUGUCCUGUCCUCAGUGGCAUGAAGAACAAUCAGUUAUAUCCCUACUAAUAAAAACCUUCUGCACAUUGGAAGGUUGCUAUCAUAUCACCUCCAUACCUGCCACCAGCCAUUAUUUGUCAGAGCAAACAUGUUCUUUCCCCUUUUCAACCAUUCACCAUCUUCUAAACCUCUAUUUUUUUGUAUCUUUUUGUACUAGGCUAUUAAACCAAACUAAGACUUCUGAGAGGUGAGAUAAGAAAAACUCAUAUCUUGCAUAUGACACAUCUAUUAAACUGUCCCAGAACAAGUUUUUCUAUUUUUGGAUCAGCAUCAUAUCAUUGACUCAUAUUCAAUAUGCAGUUUACUGUAACACCCUGGUCUCUUUCUACAGUGCUGUUACAAUUCUCCUUUUUGUAUUUAUGCCUUUGAUUUUUUCCUGUCUCAGUAUAGUACUGUGUACUUGUCUUUAUUGUAUUUCCUCUUAUUGAUUACAGACUACCUCUCCCAUUUAUCAAAAUUGUUUUGAAUUCUAAUCUUUCAACUCCCUUGCAACCCUUUCUAUUUUGGCAUCAUGUGCAAAUGUUAUAAGUAUACUCUUCUUUCCAUCAUCCAAGUCAGGAAUGAAAGUGUCGCUUUGUAUCUGAUCUAGGCUAGAUCACUGCAGAAUUCUAUAUCAUAUAUCCUUUUUGUUUGAAAACACAAUGUUGAUAAGCCUUGGAGUAUGUGUUUCUCAAGCAACUGUGCAUGCAGCAUGUAGUAAAUUCACCCAGAACAAAAUAUUUCUCUGCAUUGCCGAUGAGAAUGUCAUGUAAGCCUCAAAGACUGCCAAAAGUCAAUAUACAUCAGUUCUACUGCCUCUUUCACUGUAGGCCAGAUACUCUGUUAAAGAAGGAAAUUACAUCAGUUUAAUAAAGUUUUGUUUGCAACAAAUC
Dromaius novaehollandiae (emu) is the source of this 1960-nucleotide long non-coding RNA. RefSeq lists it as uncharacterized. The transcript has 3 exons. The record is from RefSeq and is a predicted model, not a curated record. Lineage: Eukaryota; Metazoa; Chordata; Aves; Casuariiformes; Dromaiidae.